GCCUAGGUAGCUCAGUUGGUAGAGCGUCAGGCUUUUAAUCUGAGGGCCCACGGUACAAGACCGUGUCUGAGCA
This is a non-coding RNA of Gopherus flavomarginatus (Mexican gopher tortoise), 73 nucleotides long. NCBI's taxonomy places the organism in Eukaryota, Metazoa, Chordata, Testudines, Testudinidae. The record is from the annotation of a RefSeq genome assembly.